RNAcentral lists this unclassified non-coding RNA (321 nucleotides) under Hevea brasiliensis (rubber tree). The record is from RNAcentral. Lineage: Eukaryota; Viridiplantae; Streptophyta; Magnoliopsida; Malpighiales; Euphorbiaceae.
UGAAAAGUUUAUAAUUUACCAGUUGGACUGAGGCCACUUUCCAAUUACUUAAAAUAUAGUUUUGGGAUUUCUUUUGUGAAUGGGGUGAAGUGCUUUGCAUCGGNNAAUCGGCAUUCAUUCUGGUUGAUAUUUGAUUUUUGCUUAUACCCUAGAGAGGAAAUGUCAGUGCAAAUAUAGCAAUUGGACUGAGGCCACCAAUGGGGGACAAUAUCUUCUUCCAAGUGUAAUGCUUAAAAUAGAGUUUUUAGAUUUCUGUUGCGAGUGUUAGCUUGUACUUGACAAAGGGAAUCUGUAUCUUAGAGUUAUUUAUUGGUGAUUUCG